AAAAAAACAACGUGUCGCAGUAUUUAUAAACAAGUUACAUGUAUGGGAAAGGGGUAUUAAACGAGCAUUUUAUUUUGAAUUGGAUAAACUUAAGCACAAAAUACGCGCAUUGGAGUUAACAUCAAGUACAUAAUUAUGAGACCAACAUUUUCAGAAAUCGUGAGGAAUUUAUAUGGAGCUAUGAUUUGCUAAUUGGAAGAUGAAUUUAUUUGCUGGUUUAUUGAAAGUGUUUCGACAACUGACUUAAACGUCGCCCGACAUUCUACAAAUGAUCGGGAAUGAACGCCCUGAACGUGAUCGAAAACGAUUCUUAAGACAAAUGGCUUCUUUUAGAUUGGACGAUGCGAGCACUCGUCUCACGCUGAAUCUCUGACCUUGUGAUCACCUAAGGCAUUUUCUGGUUGGAUGUGAUCUUAUCUGAAGUUGUCAUACGGUUACCAAAAUCAAAGGUAGAUGGUUAGACCGAUGAGGCAAGAUGCUAGAGACACAGCAUUAGAAUGCCUUCGGUAUCGUAGUUGUCUCCCUCUACUGCUGCAACGAUAAAGUUCUGCAGUUCAAGGAAAGGCAGAUAGGUUUAUACGUGCAACCGUCCAUUACUGAAUCUCUGAACUUUAGAUCACACGAGACAUUUUCUGGUAGGAUGUUGUUUUAAGUUGCCCGGACGUCAAUGACCAGAGGUACAAGUGCCCAAAAAUGUUUUUUCAAGUGACAGAAACGGAGUGGUAUGCCGAAAAAAGGAAUGCCACAAGCCUGGUAUCUGCUUUGGUCAAAUGGCAGUUGUUUCCCUUGGGCUGCUAUUAAACUAGUGAGCUACAGGUUGAGAAAAGCAGGCAAAUACAAAUUGACGUACCACGCAGAGAUCAGCUCUUCCUGACAGGAUGUGUUCCACAGUUAUCCGGUAUUGACAAGAAUAAAAGAUUGAUACGAGCAGACCCUGAUCUGAAGGUAACUAUGGGAGCAUUAUUGCGACAUGUAAUCAUAGUGUGUCCGACAUCAACAACAAGCAAAGACUGGCUAAUACGAGCAGACUUCGCAUAAUGAAUCCCUGAUAUUGAGGUCCCAAAACCAAGAGACGUUUGGGCAAUAAUAUAUCUUCAUACAGGUGCCUUUGGAACGCAUUUGUCAUCUGCAGUUCGGAAAAAAAUGGUUCGGUGCUGAAGACACACCAUCGGGGUGUGACAAUCCCAGAUAAUGUCAGUCCGGAGUUACAGUUGUCUUUGCGGAUAUAAACAGCUUCAGAUCCAGAACUGGAAACGAGCAGAUGUAUGUGUCCGGACCCAUGCACGCUAUUUAAGAAAAACUAUUUCUGAUCGAAGUUAGUGCGAUUGGUUUCUUUUCGAUAGAUCAAUAUGAGGAGACGUCCCACGCUAAAUACCUGAUUUAGAGGUUACAUGACGCACUUCCAGGUAAAAUAUUGUUCUGGGCUGUCCGGCAUUUACCAGAAGCACCGGUAGAUUGUAAGAUACAUAGUUUGCAUUAUGGCCACGUCUUACCACCAAGAAAUCACAUGUGGAGAUCUUCUGGUCGUUUAAGGGUGACCAGUUCACAAAACAAAGGGAUGCAUUUUCAGGUUAGUCGCGUCAGUACGUUAAAUAAUACAUUUGCCCACGGAUUAAUAGCUGACUUCUCGCCUAAACAAUAAUUGCACAUUACAUAGUUUGUUGCGGGUUCUUUAUUUUUUCUGGUCUCAAUUGAGUUAUCAGCGAUAUAUAUUUAACUUUUUACUAGUAAAUGAUGUGGGUUAGGUGUAAACAUUUGUUUGGAAUUUUCUUUAUUACUAAAACGCUUUAUUGUUUACGCAAAAUGUCAAGUUUCCUGAGCUUAAAAAUGUUGUCUAGUCUUAAUUUAAGGCUGCAGAUAACUAUUUUCGAAACACACUAACAGUUGUGUCCAUCUACCUGCAUUAUUUUGGAGACAAGCCUAUUCUUGACAUUGAAAGCAACUGUUCACGAUCCCAUUUAUAACUUUAUGCGAAAGAAAACCUAUAAAGUAUGGUUGCUCUGUUUGACAGACUGGUAGGAGAUAUACUGGUGACAUAACAUUGGUAUGUGAACGACAUUCGGUCUAUCAAAAAUAAUCACAUUUAUCUCCCUUUGACCGCAUAUUCCGAAGUUUAACGACAAGUAGGUACUAGAUGCAGUAAUUACAAUUUUCCUGCUUAACAGACCAAGGGGUGGAUUGUUUAACAUACUUUUUACCAAAUGGAAGGUGUCAUUAAUUGGCUAAUAUAUUUAAUGUAAGCUUAAAAGUCCAGAAUAUAUACUUAAGAGGCUUUAAGAUUGGUUUUAUGUUACUUUAAUUUCUUUCCUAUUAAACCAAGUGUAUAUGAUGGUUGUGUUGUGCAUGAGAUUGAAUCUUUGGUUCAAAUGCUCUCUUUUAGGUAUGCCUAUACACGCAGAUAUUUCACCCUUAAUUACUGAUCAGGAUGUCUUACGAGACAUUUCCUGUCAUAAAGUCGUCCUGAGUUGUCCGGUAAAAAGCAUUGAUCUGUACUUAAUUUUGGCUUCAGCAUACCUUCGGAGCUGCUAUCGUCAUUUGCAGUUGAACAUGCAUCAAGCUAUACAUACAUGUAUAAACUAAGAUACUCUAGCAAAAUAUGUGUUGUAAUACAUAUGACAUCCAUAGGUUGACGUUUAGAUGUACACAUUUGUUCAUAUGGAACCAUUCUUCAAUUGAUGUCCAAUAACGGUUAAAGGUUAAAUAAAUCUCAACAUUUGACAUUCUGAUACCUAUGACAUAUGAAGUUUAGAGUCCAGUAGUUUCACAAACGGGUAACAAUUGGACUUUGAGGCUGAUCAAUUUAUUGUUUCUUGCGAAUGAAUCAUUAGUGCAAAUAUUCUCUUUCAGAAAUGCCAAUACUUGCGAAUGGUCCACACUGAAACACUGAUCUCGAUGUUACAAAAAGCUUUUGUUGGAAGGAUUUUAUCUUGAUAUGUCCAGCGAUUACUUCAAUCACACUAAUCUACUUUGGUCACAGGACUGCUUCAAACCACUGCAUCUGUAACAUUACAGAUUUGACAAUUACAAUAUUCUGUAAAUAUUUUACCAUGAUCACAAAUGUGUUCUUGUUAUUGACUGAGUUUCGGCGGUAUGAUGAAGAUAUUACAUGACAAUGUGACAGGCCUUUGAUAUGCCAGUUGUCUUCCUUUUAAUAAUAAAAAGGGAAGGAUAAGCAGCUAGCUUACAUCUCUAGAGUUUCUAAAAAUUGAUGUGACAAGGCAACUCCGAAUUUAACAUACUACACUAAUCAUUUGUCACGAGGUUUCUAUGUCGUGGAAGUUAUCCAUCUGAACUUCUCCUAAUCUCGCAUACAAUAGUUUAAUUAUAAAUAGUGAUACUCCUACUAACCAAUUACACACCAUAGUCUGGUAUUUGCAACCUUAAACGAAAUUGGAAAGGAACUCCAUUAUCUUCUUUGAUGUUAACACUUCACAAUCGAACGGAAAAUAGUAUUCCUCUAUGUUAACAGAACUAUUGUAAAUAUUCUUUGAUUAAAAUGUAUAAGGUA
This is a long non-coding RNA of Mya arenaria, 3508 nucleotides long. RefSeq lists it as uncharacterized. Lineage: Eukaryota; Metazoa; Mollusca; Bivalvia; Myida; Myidae. The record is from RefSeq and is a predicted model, not a curated record. The transcript has 11 exons.